CGACGCCGUGCCGUGACGGGCCGCGGCCGGCGACGGCUCGGUGCCGCCGCGGGCCGCGUUCCGGUCGCGGAGCGCCGCCC
This 80-nucleotide transfer RNA is filed under the name Catellatospora coxensis. RNAcentral describes it as "tRNA-Pro". Lineage: Bacteria; Bacillati; Actinomycetota; Actinomycetes; Micromonosporales; Micromonosporaceae. The record is from RNAcentral.